CCUACGGGAGGCAGCAGUGGGGAAUAUUGCGCAAUGGGCGAAAGCCUGACGCAGCGACGCCGCGUGAGGGAUGGAGGUCUUCGGAUCGUAAACCUCUGUCAGCCGGGAAGAACGGUCACUGUGCUAGUCAACAGUGAAUUGACGGUACCUGCAACGGAAGUACCGGCUAACACCGUGGCAGCAGCCGCGGGAAUACGGGGGGUGCGAGCGUUAAUCGGAGUUACUGGGCGUAAGGCGCUCGUAGGCGGGAUGUCAGGUCAAGGGUGAAAUCCCCGCGCUCAAGGUGUGAACUGCCUUUGAUACUGGCAAACUGGAGUGUGUGAGAGGAUGGUGGAAUGCGUGGUGUAGGAGUGAAAUCCGUAGAUAUC
RNAcentral lists this ribosomal RNA (368 nucleotides) under uncultured bacterium. Its description in RNAcentral is "partial 16S ribosomal RNA". It matches the Rfam family "Bacterial small subunit ribosomal RNA", at positions 338 to 698 of the family's 1533-position model. The record is from RNAcentral.